GGGUAAAAUAUGUGAUUAAACUAUAGCAUAACAAUUCAAUUUCUUUGCCAAGCAGGUAGGCAGAAGGAUGAAAAUAAGUGGCAAGGUAGAGAUGAACAGUCAUAUUACUUUGUGAUUUGAGCUGCUGGUAGAGGAAAACAUAUAUCCUUGGAACCAAGGUAAGAAAGUAUUGAUAGAUGUGGAGGAGGGAGCCGAACAAGGAAUCCAGUGUUUUUUUUCUCAGCUGUCUCUUCAGCAAUGCACUUUCCCCUUAUUGUGCCACACUUCCAACAUUGGAAAGACCUGUGGGAAGCCACAACCUGUCCUUUUUCUUAUACCACCUGUCCCAGGUGAAUCUGUAUUAGAGGCACUAAAUGCAGGAAGGAAUGGAGCAGGUAUCUACCUCAUGCAAUAUAGUGAUUGUUACUUAGAAGAACAUGGAUAGCACGGUCCUCUGAACGUGGGGGAUUAUGGGCGUUCUUGGAGGGUGGAAGGAGCUCAGAGGUGGUCCUCCUGCCCUGAAAACACUUGGGUGGCCCAUUUCAAUGUACUAAGUACUUUGCCUUGGAGUGUGAGGGAAGGAGGAGAAGGUGCUACACGAAUACUUUGAUCCGGGAGGCUGAGCUUGUCUCUCCCCCUUUUAUGACCUUGGAGUUUUAGCCAGCAAGGUUCCUUCCAUGCUGGCAGGAAGAACUUUGAGUCCUAGCUCUGACCUCAAAGGAUAUUUCUGAAUUUGGAAAUGUUGUCAUGCAAAGUUCUUCAAUAUUUACAGACAUUCAUGUUUUAAUUAACUGCCUGCCUCUUGGAAUUUAAUGUAAGGUCAGUACAAAUGAACCUCUUUGGCAGCUAGAAGACUAAUAUUAGUUUCCAAAGCUGGAGCUGGGACUCCCAAAUAUCCUACUGUUACCCAAACUGGGAAACCUCAUAAAGUGAUGAGUUUGCCUUGUGUGCCUGACCAACAACAAGCCAGUUGAGAUGACUCUUCAGAAGGAGGCAGCUGUACUACAGGAGAAAAGGGGACUACACACACACAAGCAAGCCAAGGUUACAUGCAGCACCUUCCCAAACAGUGCAGGUUUCUAACUUUUAUGCUGCUGGAUAAAGAGUCUAUUCUCCCUCCCUCUGCUCCAUCCAUUGUUCUAGUGGAAUGCUCUUGCUUUAGCCUCGGCUGUCUCCAACCUUUCUCAGCUGCUCCUUCCUCACCUCCCUUGGUAUUUGGGAGGGAUCACUUCCUUAGUUUACACGGGGGUCGGCAUCAUGAUUCAGCCCACAACUGGGACCUGAAUAUGUCUUAACAGCACAGAUUGAACUAGUCCAACGAUGGUUGCAAGGGACACAGUCUUUCUGAUUUCUCUGUAGUCCAUUUGGUGAAGUCCACAUGUACAAGUGACAUUUGUGCUGCUUGAAUUUCACUAGGUCAUAUGGCAACGACAAGCAUGAAUCAAGUGUGGAAAAACAAGAACAUCAGCUUGGCAACCAAAUGGAGAUAGGGCCAAGUGAUCGUUUUCCCUAUUGCAACCUUACAGUUGUCACAGUUGGACAAUGAAAAGGUUAGACAAGAGGGAAAUUGACUCAUUCAAACUGUGGUGUUGCUGGAGGCUCCUGUGCAUUCCAUGGACAGCGGGAGUCAUGAACAAGCAGCUUCUGGAGCAUAUUAAACCAGAUGCAUCCCUGGUUGGCAAGAUAACAAAACUGAGGCUCUUGUAUUUUGGCCACUUUAUUGGCCAUUGGUAUCAAGCUCAUUGGUAAAAGAUAUAGUGCUUGGAAUGCUCAGUGGCAAGAGAAAACCAGGUUUCCAAAGAGCAAAGUGGUUAGAUGUUAUCAAAACAGAUACGGGCCAGAGUAUAGUUCAGCUGAAAGAGGUGACACGGGAUUGAUAAAUGUGGUGAGAUUUGGCCCAUAGGAUGGCCUAUAGUUGGACACAAACGAACAGCUGAACAACAACAACAACAAUAACAGUCAUCACUGUGUACAUGACAAGUUGGAGUGCCUCUUGAGGUUUAUGAUUAGGAGUAUUAGCCUAUAAUUAUGGCGGUCUGUACUCUGUCUGCUGGCCAUAGAAUUGCGCCCUAAUGAAUUAAAUUUCUGUAUGGAAUGAUUAAGCAGAUUUUAAAAGAGUAGAUGAAUAGUAAAAUCUCCAUUUGGUCAGAGGAGGGGGUAGAAUGGCAUUUAUGUAGUUUGGCUGAUGAGCCAUAUAGAAAUGUAAUAAAGAAAUAAAAUAAAAAUUACCACUAUUUCUCAGAGAUCUAUGUAAGGAUACUAACACAAUAAUGCUGAACACAGACACUAGCAGCCAGUGGGGUUUUUGGUAUACAAACUCCAGAGUAUAAGUCAUAUAUCUGAAUAAUGGUCAUUUCUUAAUUGUUAUAUGCUGUUUCUCAGCCUCAUAUACCCCCCUCCAAAUCCCAGUUCACAACAUAGUAAGCAGUAGCAAUAAUAGUUGAAAAACAAACCAUUAAAAACACUAAAAAUACCAACAGUAUUAACAAACCUCUAGGGGUACAGAAGCAGAAGCAGAACAUCUCAACAAAAAUGUGUUAACAUUCUUUCAGAAGGCUGGGAAGAGAAGAAUUAAAAUGAGGACUCUGAGGGAUGGCGUCUCAGAGUUCAGGAGUCACCACAAGAAGGGCCCUGUUCAGCUAACACACCAAGCGUGCCUGAGGCAGGGGCAGCAUGUGAGACAGAGCAAAUGGAAAGAGGCGCAUGAGAGGUGGAAGUCUUUCAUAUACCCCAGACCAAAACCAUUAGCUCUCCUGCCAGUUCCCAGGAAGCAUGCAUGUGGGAUUGUGACCAGCCCUAGAGACAGAGUGGACUAUUCUGGUAAAAAUCUUUGAACAUCUCGAGUUGCUGGGAAAUUUCUAACUUUUUCUUUCCUGCUGGAGGAAACGUUUUAUUGGGAUUAAAAAAAUGAAAGAAAAAUCUUCCUCUUCCUUCCAAGCUGAGGUUAUGCUUUGGUUUGAGGCAACCUCAUUUAUAAAUGUAUUAUUCAUCUUCCUGAAAUGAUUUCUACACACAGUGACGCUGGUUCUUUAAUAAUGUGGUAUCCGACAUGUUAUGGAUUGUAUGGGUAAUAAAUGCUGAACAGAUGACACUGAGAAUGACAAAGAAUGCUAAGGCAAGAUGAUACAAUUUCAAAGAGAUAAAAUGGAGAAGAGAAAGACUAUGGGAGCCAGUUCCU
Long non-coding RNA from Varanus komodoensis (Komodo dragon), 3157 nucleotides. RefSeq lists it as uncharacterized. The transcript has 4 exons. The record is from RefSeq and is a predicted model, not a curated record. NCBI's taxonomy places the organism in Eukaryota, Metazoa, Chordata, Lepidosauria, Squamata, Varanidae.